CAAUGUUCAAAUUCAUGGGUGGUUGAUCAGUCUUCGUUCUCGAUGGAGUCGUCGCACCACUAUAAUCGAGCGUGCUUGCACACGACACCAUUUCGACGGAUUCCAUCUUCUUCUACAUAAUAUGAAGUUGGGAGGCGAGUGCAUGGCACCAACGACCCACCCGCUCUCCUCUCCAUCCGGCCUCAUCUGCACCCUCGUCCUCGGUCGCCGGCGACAGCCCCAGGGCACUUGGAUUAAAUGGCCCUCACAGCUUUAUGCCGUGGUCUCGGGGCCAACGCGGCCAGGUUCGGGUUCAGUCCCUGCAGUGGGUUGCCGCUUCUUCCGGAAGAGGGGCUCUUCGCUUGAGCGGAGAAAGGAGAGCGCCUCGUCUUCGUACCUGCACACAGGUCGGGUCGGGGUGUUUGACCCGACCCCUCCGACGAUUAAGUUAGUAGAUGGUCCCCGGGGUUUUUUUCUCCCCUUUCUCCCUUGGCAGGUAAGGGGUUUUAUAGUAAAGGGUUACCGCUAUCCGGUGUGACCGUUUGCAGGGAGCAGGGUCGUACUUCUGGUAACGUCCGACAGUGGCGUUGGCUUGGCGUGUAGGGGCAAGCCCGAGCAGGGCGUUAAUGCGCCUCGGUUGGUGUUCCGGUCAGUUGACCGAGUGCGGUCGGGUCGAUCGAGGCGUGAGACGUCAUCCGGGGUAACUGAUGUUAAUCAAGUCGUGUCACCAUUAUUGCUCUCGUCAGAGGGUGUCCUUUCGGUUGGCCUGGCUACCCCUACCUGGCGUGCGUCACCAACUGUAAUGCUGUUGGGUCUCCGGUGAUUCCCUCAUCAAGUAAUAUACUCGAUCAUCGGGGAUCGUGUCACUACUUACAAGUCUUCACUCAUUUUGUA
Long non-coding RNA from Musa acuminata subsp. malaccensis (wild Malaysian banana), 873 nucleotides. RefSeq lists it as uncharacterized. Lineage: Eukaryota; Viridiplantae; Streptophyta; Magnoliopsida; Zingiberales; Musaceae. The record is from RefSeq and is a predicted model, not a curated record.